Bradysia coprophila is the source of this 171-nucleotide long non-coding RNA. The record is from RefSeq and is a predicted model, not a curated record. Lineage: Eukaryota; Metazoa; Arthropoda; Insecta; Diptera; Sciaridae.
ACUUGAAGUUAGAAUUUUGGCGUGGUAAUUCAAACUUUGGAACUCAUGACCGCUAAUGGUGUCGCAUUCUGCGUCUGAACUCAAAAAAUUUAACGAAUGAUUCGGUUUUCGUCUUUAAAGUUAUUUUAUUUUAUCCUAAAAUUUUCUUGAAAAUGCCACCAUCUUCAAGAA